CAGUAGCUCAAUGGAUAGAGCAUCUGACUUCGGAUCAGAGUGUUGGGGGUUCGAGUCCUCUCUG
RNAcentral lists this transfer RNA (64 nucleotides) under uncultured Tissierella sp. It matches the Rfam family "tRNA", at positions 5 to 66 of the family's 71-position model. Rfam says of the family: Transfer RNA (tRNA) molecules are approximately 80 nucleotides in length. The record is from RNAcentral. Lineage: Bacteria; Bacillati; Bacillota; Tissierellia; Tissierellales; Tissierellaceae.